Molecule: ribosomal RNA, 560 nt
Filed under: uncultured bacterium
Lineage: Bacteria
Description: partial 16S ribosomal RNA
Rfam family: Bacterial small subunit ribosomal RNA
Source: RNAcentral
UGGGGAAUAUUGGACAAUGGGCGCAAGCCUGAUCCAGCCAUGCCGCGUGAGUGAUGAAGGCCCUAGGGUUGUAAAGCUCUUUCAGCGAGGAGGAUAAUGACGUUACUCGCAGAAGAAGCCCCGGCUAACUUCGUGCCAGCAGCCGCGGUAAUACGAAGGGGGCUAGCGUUGUUCGGAAUCACUGGGCGUAAAGCGCACGUAGGCGGACUUUUAAGUCAGGGGUGAAAUCCCGGGGCUCAACCUCGGAACUGCCUUUGAUACUGGAAGUCUGGAGUCCGAGAGAGGUGAGUGGAACUCCGAGUGUAGAGGUGAAAUUCGUAGAUAUUCGGAAGAACACCAGUGGCGAAGGCGGCUCACUGGCUCGGUACUGACGCUGAGGUGCGAAAGCGUGGGGAGCAAGCAGGAUUAGAUACCCUGGUAGUCCACGCCGUAAACGAUGGAAGCUAGCCGUCAGGGUGCAUGCAUCUUGGUGGCGCAGUUAACGCAUUAAGCUUCCCGCCUGGGGAGUACGGUCGCAAGAUUAAAACUCAAAUGAAUUGACGGGGUCAUAGCUGUUUCCU